CAACAGGGAUUGCCUUAGUAACGGCGAGUGAAGCGGCAAAAGCUCAAAUUUGAAAUCUGGCGCCUUCGGUGUCCGAGUUGUAAUUUGAAGAAGGUAACUUUGGAGUUGGCUCUUGUCUAUGUUCCUUGGAACAGGACGUCACAGAGGGUGAGAAUCCCGUGCGAUGAGAUGCCCAAUUCUAUGUAAAGUGCUUUCGAAGAGUCGAGUUGUUUGGGAAUGCAGCUCUAAGUGGGUGGUAAAUUCCAUCUAAAGCUAAAUAUUGGCGAGAGACCGAUAGCGAACAAGUACAGUGAUGGAAAGAUGAAAAGAACUUUGAAAAGAGAGUGAAAAAGUACGUGAAAUUGUUGAAAGGGAAGGGCUUGAGAUCAGACUUGGUAUUUUGCGAUCCUUUCCUUCUUGGUUGGGUUCCUCGCAGCUUACUGGGCCAGCAUCGGUUUGGAUGGUAGGAUAAUGACUAAGGAAUGUGGCAUUGCUUCGGUGGUGUGUUAUAGCCUUGGUUGAUACUGCCUGUCUAGACCGAGGACUGCGUCUUUGACUAGGAUGUUGGCAUAAUGAUCUUAAGCCACCCGUCUUGAA
This 576-nucleotide ribosomal RNA is filed under the name Debaryomyces robertsiae. RNAcentral describes it as "LSU rRNA". It matches the Rfam family "Eukaryotic large subunit ribosomal RNA", at positions 66 to 658 of the family's 3401-position model. The record is from RNAcentral. Lineage: Eukaryota; Fungi; Ascomycota; Pichiomycetes; Serinales; Debaryomycetaceae.